Molecule: ribosomal RNA, 2801 nt
Filed under: Escherichia coli
Lineage: Bacteria; Pseudomonadati; Pseudomonadota; Gammaproteobacteria; Enterobacterales; Enterobacteriaceae
Description: partial 23S ribosomal RNA
Rfam family: Bacterial large subunit ribosomal RNA
Source: RNAcentral
CCGAAUGGGGAAACCCAGUGUGUUUCGACACACUAUCAUUAACUGAAUCCAUAGGUUAAUGAGGCGAACCGGGGGAACUGAAACAUCUAAGUACCCCGAGGAAAAGAAAUCAACCGAGAUUCCCCCAGUAGCGGCGAGCGAACGGGGAGCAGCCCAGAGCCUGAAUCAGUGUGUGUGUUAGUGGAAGCGUCUGGAAAGGCGCGCGAUACAGGGUGACAGCCCCGUACACAAAAAUGCACAUGCUGUGAGCUCGAUGAGUAGGGCGGGACACGUGGUAUCCUGUCUGAAUAUGGGGGGACCAUCCUCCAAGGCUAAAUACUCCUGACUGACCGAUAGUGAACCAGUACCGUGAGGGAAAGGCGAAAAGAACCCCGGCGAGGGGAGUGAAAAAGAACCUGAAACCGUGUACGUACAAGCAGUGGGAGCACGCUUAGGCGUGUGACUGCGUACCUUUUGUAUAAUGGGUCAGCGACUUAUAUUCUGUAGCAAGGUUAACCGAAUAGGGGAGCCGAAGGGAAACCGAGUCUUAACUGGGCGUUAAGUUGCAGGGUAUAGACCCGAAACCCGGUGAUCUAGCCAUGGGCAGGUUGAAGGUUGGGUAACACUAACUGGAGGACCGAACCGACUAAUGUUGAAAAAUUAGCGGAUGACUUGUGGCUGGGGGUGAAAGGCCAAUCAAACCGGGAGAUAGCUGGUUCUCCCCGAAAGCUAUUUAGGUAGCGCCUCGUGAAUUCAUCUCCGGGGGUAGAGCACUGUUUCGGCAAGGGGGUCAUCCCGACUUACCAACCCGAUGCAAACUGCGAAUACCGGAGAAUGUUAUCACGGGAGACACACGGCGGGUGCUAACGUCCGUCGUGAAGAGGGAAACAACCCAGACCGCCAGCUAAGGUCCCAAAGUCAUGGUUAAGUGGGAAACGAUGUGGGAAGGCCCAGACAGCCAGGAUGUUGGCUUAGAAGCAGCCAUCAUUUAAAGAAAGCGUAAUAGCUCACUGGUCGAGUCGGCCUGCGCGGAAGAUGUAACGGGGCUAAACCAUGCACCGAAGCUGCGGCAGCGACACUAUGUGUUGUUGGGUAGGGGAGCGUUCUGUAAGCCUGUGAAGGUGUACUGUGAGGUAUGCUGGAGGUAUCAGAAGUGCGAAUGCUGACAUAAGUAACGAUAAAGCGGGUGAAAAGCCCGCUCGCCGGAAGACCAAGGGUUCCUGUCCAACGUUAAUCGGGGCAGGGUGAGUCGACCCCUAAGGCGAGGCCGAAAGGCGUAGUCGAUGGGAAACAGGUUAAUAUUCCUGUACUUGGUGUUACUGCGAAGGGGGGACGGAGAAGGCUAUGUUGGCCGGGCGACGGUUGUCCCGGUUUAAGCGUGUAGGCUGGUUUUCCAGGCAAAUCCGGAAAAUCAAGGCUGAGGCGUGAUGACGAGGCACUACGGUGCUGAAGCAACAAAUGCCCUGCUUCCAGGAAAAGCCUCUAAGCAUCAGGUAACAUCAAAUCGUACCCCAAACCGACACAGGUGGUCAGGUAGAGAAUACCAAGGCGCUUGAGAGAACUCGGGUGAAGGAACUAGGCAAAAUGGUGCCGUAACUUCGGGAGAAGGCACGCUGAUAUGUAGGUGAAGUCCCUCGCGGAUGGAGCUGAAAUCAGUCGAAGAUACCAGCUGGCUGCAACUGUUUAUUAAAAACACAGCACUGUGCAAACACGAAAGUGGACGUAUACGGUGUGACGCCUGCCCGGUGCCGGAAGGUUAAUUGAUGGGGUCAGCGCAAGCGAAGCUCUUGAUCGAAGCCCCGGUAAACGGCGGCCGUAACUAUAACGGUCCUAAGGUAGCGAAAUUCCUUGUCGGGUAAGUUCCGACCUGCACGAAUGGCGUAAUGAUGGCCAGGCUGUCUCCACCCGAGACUCAGUGAAAUUGAACUCGCUGUGAAGAUGCAGUGUACCCGCGGCAAGACGGAAAGACCCCGUGAACCUUUACUAUAGCUUGACACUGAACAUUGAGCCUUGAUGUGUAGGAUAGGUGGGAGGCUUUGAAGUGUGGACGCCAGUCUGCAUGGAGCCGACCUUGAAAUACCACCCUUUAAUGUUUGAUGUUCUAACGUGGACCCGUAAUCCGGGUUGCGGACAGUGUCUGGUGGGUAGUUUGACUGGGGCGGUCUCCUCCUAAAGAGUAACGGAGGAGCACGAAGGUUGGCUAAUCCUGGUCGGACAUCAGGAGGUUAGUGCAAUGGCAUAAGCCAGCUUGACUGCGAGCGUGACGGCGCGAGCAGGUGCGAAAGCAGGUCAUAGUGAUCCGGUGGUUCUGAAUGGAAGGGCCAUCGCUCAACGGAUAAAAGGUACUCCGGGGAUAACAGGCUGAUACCGCCCAAGAGUUCAUAUCGACGGCGGUGUUUGGCACCUCGAUGUCGGCUCAUCACAUCCUGGGGCUGAAGUAGGUCCCAAGGGUAUGGCUGUUCGCCAUUUAAAGUGGUACGCGAGCUGGGUUUAGAACGUCGUGAGACAGUUCGGUCCCUAUCUGCCGUGGGCGCUGGAGAACUGAGGGGGGCUGCUCCUAGUACGAGAGGACCGGAGUGGACGCAUCACUGGUGUUCGGGUUGUCAUGCCAAUGGCACUGCCCGGUAGCUAAAUGCGGAAGAGAUAAGUGCUGAAAGCAUCUAAGCACGAAACUUGCCCCGAGAUGAGUUCUCCCUGACUCCUUGAGAGUCCUGAAGGAACGUUGAAGACGACGACGUUGAUAGGCCGGGUGUGUAAGCGCAGCGAUGCGUUGAGCUAACCGGUACUAAUGAACCGUGAGGCUUAACCUUACAACGCCGAAG